Molecule: small nuclear RNA, 104 nt
Filed under: Pteropus vampyrus (large flying fox)
Lineage: Eukaryota; Metazoa; Chordata; Mammalia; Chiroptera; Pteropodidae
Source: RNAcentral
GUGCUCAUUUCAGCAGCACAUAUACUAAAAUUGGAACAAUACAAAGAUUAACAUGACCUCUGAACAAGGAUGGCAAGCAAAUUCAUGAAAUGUUCCAUAUUUUU